RNAcentral lists this long non-coding RNA (256 nucleotides) under Manihot esculenta (cassava). Its description in RNAcentral is "long non-coding RNA (MESC_LNC009222)". The record is from RNAcentral. Lineage: Eukaryota; Viridiplantae; Streptophyta; Magnoliopsida; Malpighiales; Euphorbiaceae.
AGUUCCUUUAAUGUUUUAAGUAAGUUUUAUGAAGUUUCUUGGGGUAGAAAUGCAUGUGUAGGUUUAUGUGGAGUUUAUGGGUUUACUGUGCGUUUAUGGACAAUGUAUGUUGGAUAUGCAUGUUUGAUGUGUUGUAGAUGGGGUUUAGGAUAGUUUGAAGCCCCUAGGAGCUUGUAUGCUUGAGUAUGCAUGUUGUAGAAUAGGAAAAUGCAUGAUUGAAUGAGUUGUGAGGCGUUUAUGCAUGUUGAGCUGAGUU